CGGAUGUUCAAUUAGCAGACAUAAUGUCAAAAAUAUUUUUUUCUUACAUCAAUCGAUUCGAAAUCAUUUGGGAAACACGUCCGUAAAAUUUCAGAGUUUAGGAAAUAAUAAUUUCGUUGCAAUAACGAAAUAAAGUUAGUAUCUGAAAAUUUGCUAUGAAAUUUCGCGGUUAUUAGCAGACAUAAUGUCAAAAAUUAUUUGUUCUUGCGUAAAUUGUUUCAAAAUCAAUUAGGAAACAUGUUUGUAAAAUUUCAAAGUUCGGGAAACAAUAAUUUUGUUGUAAUAAUGAAAUAAAUGUUAGUGUGGGACUUGGUUAGGAGGAGCGCUGGUGUGUGGACGUAUGGUGUAGCGUGAGCGGAUAAUAAGGCGAUUUAGAGCGAUUGUAAGCGAGUUAAAGAGGUAUUUUCGAGGAAACUAGGUAGAAUGGGAUUAAUUUUCGGCGAGUAAUUGGAGGGAAGAUUAUCCGGUUCUGCGGCUGUAAAAUCAAAAAAUGUUUGUCUACAAUUGGUGGAUAACCAUACCGAUUUAACUAAUUUUGGUGUGGUGCAACUUUUCACACAACCACAUCCACAAAAAAUUAUUCCAUCUCCCUAUUGGGGUAAAGUACCACCACGUCUUCGAUCGACACUUUCAACCAAUAAAAAUAAAAGUGAUCAAGUUACUAGUAAAAUUAGCGAUGACCAUAGUUCUGAUAUUGAAGAGGAAGAAUUAUCAAUGGCGAUAACGAAUACAUCAAGGUCAUCUCCUCUUGUAUUAAGUCGCUUGUUGAAUCGUUCCAAAGGUUCUUUAUUAUUGGAAGACAAUGUUAAAUCGGAUAAAUCAAUUAAUCAGCCUAUUAUUCUUCCAAAGGAUUUUAAUCCUGUUGCGGCACUUGUACAAGUGGAAACUACGCAUGCUUUUAUGCACAAAAUCAACCAUCAGAUUUACAAACCUGUUAUAGGAUCGCAUGAUCCUUCCACAAAUUACAAACAAAUUGUAGCCAGUGGACGUAUUAAAGAGCAACAGAUACUUGGUUGUUUGAUAGUGGAAAUAUUUCUAGCCAGCAAAUUCCGUGCGACUUGGAACGUUGAGAAAAUGUCAUUCGUACAGAGAUUUACGACGUGUCUAAAUAUUUUGAAGACAUCGACGGAUAAUUUACCGAAAUGUAUAAGAAACAUCGUAUCUUUGUUAUUGCAAAUUAAUAUUACGCCGAAAAGUUAUAAUGUAAAUAAUGUAGAAAUGAAUGACAUUUCAACGGUAAUUUCAGAAUUUUAUUAUACUGGAUGUUUUAUGAUCAAAGAGUUUUCCUAAAAAAUCAAAGGAAUUAAAAAAAAA
Molecule: RNA transcript, 1314 nt
Organism: Monomorium pharaonis (pharaoh ant)
Lineage: Eukaryota; Metazoa; Arthropoda; Insecta; Hymenoptera; Formicidae
Exons: 3
Source: RefSeq, a predicted model, not a curated record